RNAcentral lists this unclassified non-coding RNA (292 nucleotides) under uncultured fungus. RNAcentral's name for it is "sequence contains ITS1". The record is from RNAcentral. Lineage: Eukaryota; Fungi.
GGACUACUAGGGUUUCUAAUCCUGUUUGAUACCCACACUUUCGAGCAUCAGUGUCAGUUGCAGUCUAGUGAGCUGCCUUCGCAAUCGGAGUUCUUCGUGAUAUCUAAGCAUUUCACCGCUACACCACGAAUUCCGCCCACCUCUACUGUACUCAAGACUGCCAGUUUCAACUGCAAUUUUACGGUUGAGCCGCAAACUUUCACAACUGACUUAACAAUCCACCUGCGCUCCCUUUAAACCCAAUAAAUCCGGAUAACGCUCGCAUCCUCCGUAUUACCGCGGCUGCUGGCAC